Molecule: ribosomal RNA, 253 nt
Filed under: uncultured bacterium
Lineage: Bacteria
Description: partial 16S ribosomal RNA
Rfam family: Bacterial small subunit ribosomal RNA
Source: RNAcentral
UACGAGUGCUUCGAGCGUUAUCCGGAAUCAUUGGGCGUAAAGGGUGUGUAGGCGGCGAUGUUAGUCUCGCGUUAAAUCUUUCGGCUCAACCGAGAGUCUGCGUGGGAAACGGCAUUGCUUGAGGAUGGUAGGGGUCUCUGGAACUCUAGGUGUAGCGGUGAAAUGCGUUGAUAUCUAGGGGAACACCAAAAGCGAAGGCAAGAGACUAGACCACUCCUGACGCUGAAACACGAAAGCGUGGGUCGCGAAUGGG